GGUGCAGCUAAGUGGUAUAGCACUUGCCUAUCGUGCAUGAGGCCCUGAGUUUGAUCUUCAGCAACACCA
Molecule: transfer RNA, 69 nt
Filed under: Heterocephalus glaber (naked mole-rat)
Lineage: Eukaryota; Metazoa; Chordata; Mammalia; Rodentia; Bathyergidae
Rfam family: tRNA
About the family: Transfer RNA (tRNA) molecules are approximately 80 nucleotides in length. Their secondary structure includes four short double-helical elements and three loops (D, anti-codon, and T loops). Further hydrogen bonds mediate the characteristic L-shaped molecular structure. tRNAs have two regions of fundamental functional importance: the anti-codon, which is responsible for specific mRNA codon recognition, and the 3' end, to which the tRNAs corresponding amino acid is attached (by aminoacyl-tRNA synthetases). tRNAs cope with the degeneracy of the genetic code in two manners: having more than one tRNA (with a specific anti-codon) for a particular amino acid; and 'wobble' base-pairing, i.e. permitting non-standard base-pairing at the 3rd anti-codon position.
Source: Rfam by way of RNAcentral